Molecule: RNA transcript, 7147 nt
Organism: Parus major (Great Tit)
Lineage: Eukaryota; Metazoa; Chordata; Aves; Passeriformes; Paridae
Exons: 9
Source: RefSeq, a predicted model, not a curated record
GGGGAAGGAGGGUUGUCUGCUGUCUGGUAGGAGGGCUUUGUCUGUGUGCGCCUUUCUCUCUCUCCCUCUCUCGCUCUCCCUGGCUCUCGCACUCUCGCUCGCUCUCGCUCGCUCUCUCUCGCUCGCUCUCCCUUUCCCGUCUCUGUGGUUUGUAAGGUAGGUUGCAGUGUGUGUAUAUACACAACAUCAAGAGCAGGAAAAUGGACUCAUUAGGGAGGCAGGCAGUCAUUACCACUCACACUGUACUUCCAGGGAGACAGCGACUAUGAGGAGACAAACUGAGGACUGGGGAACAAGCAGCAUAAGAAAGAAGUGUUGAGAACUGCUCUUAACCCUUUUGGAGGCCGAAGUCAAAAGGGAAAUAGAGGGCUUGACGCGUUCUUUACAUCCUGCAUUUACUCUGACCACAGUCCCUCCCUGUUCUCACAAGCGGAGUUCAGCCCUGCUUCCCUUCCUGUUGAUUCCCAGUCAGCUACAUGACUGCCUGAAGUUACAUUGUAGAUGCUGAAAUCACUGCACCUUAAAAACAAAAAGAUUAAGCCACACUGCAUUCCUAAUGUUGGAAUUUUUGGACUGUGCAUCUGUUUAGGCACGUGGAGAAAGACAAGACUGAGAUCAUCAGUGGUUGGCAGUUUUCCUCAACUUCGCGAGAGAGAGAUUUGGUUGGAAUGAAACCUUGCUCUGCGUACAGCCUGCUUGAGAUGCAGCAUUGAAAGAUCACUCACAAUCAGUUUGUGGCCUUUCUCUGGAGGAACCUUUCCGUGUCUCUUGUACACAGCCUCUCUCUGUUCCCUGCCCCAAUGAACGUCUGCACUAGGUCCAAGGCUUGGAGUAAUUUACCUGAAGAGUGAUACCAUUUGGAAACCACUGCAAUACAGAUGGAAUCCACUGCAACUUCUUAAAGGUUUACACUGCUCUUUCUGGGCCUUGAGACAUUUAUGACUUAAGGCCAUUAUGAUUUGGUAGAUUUGGCUGGAUGACAUAGGUAAAGUUGCCUGAGAGAAUUCUGACUUUGCAUUGUAGUUUUAUUAUGCUCUGAAAUGACCAUUUGUCUAAUAUUUGUACUUUUCCUUUUGAUUCUUUUGAUCAGUUCUCAGGAAUUGUCAGUAUUGUCACAGUGUUAGCAUAGCUGAGAUGCUCUGAUGUUACAAGUCAGGCAAGCUCUGUAGUCAGGACCCAACUCUCACGAGACUUGUGGUUUAGACAGAAUAAAGGGACAAAUUUUGGGCCAUAUGAACCCUACUUCAGGCCUGAAAAGGACCCAGCAAAUUUCAAUCUUACUUUAACUUAAUCUCUGAGUUUAAUUUAAUUAUGUUAAUCAGUCUCCUGUAAGGGAUUUUGGAGUUUAUUUUACUUUUCUGUGUUGAUUAAAUUUUCCAGGCUUUUAUUUCACUAGAACAUCGGGUCUCUCUUGUCAAUUCUCCGUGCCUCCCAUUCUUGCUUUGCAGUGUUCCACUGGGAUUUCUCUUUCAUAUUACAUUUUAUGGCGAUGUUUUCAGGAGUUUGUGUUUUCCAUUGUAUGACACAAACUUGCAAUCAGAGAUUUUAAACAAACUGCCAGUCAUGUAGCUGCAACAGCGUGAAGAUCAAUGUGGCUGCAAAAUCAUCAGAGAAGCUGUGUGAAUAUUCAGGCAGUCAGCCUGUGCAGGACUUUUAACUACUGAAGCAACACUUCUGGCAGGAAAACUGUGAUGGCUCAGGUGGUUUAAAGUGAGCUUGUCUUGGGAAGCUUCACCCUCAGCUCUGGCUUUCAGUGUGCCCUGAAUUUUGAGGUCAGGUCUCUGGGCAGAUUUCAGUGGGUUUUUGUUGUUCUUUCAGGCCUAUUUUUUUAUAUUCAGUGAUUGUACUCAUCUCUCUCUCUUUACUUUGUCAGUUUCUAAAUAUGUAUUGUCAAUGUCAUGUCUGGAAGAGACACAACACUGGCAGUGAUAAGCACUGAUAUCAGGAGCUGUGUUAGUCGCACACAGGCAGGGGAAGAAUGUGCAGCAGAACACUCAGGAAAAAUAUUGCUUAAAAUCAGACGUGAACUAUUUUCACACUCUUAUUUUUAGGAUCUGAAAAGCUGGAGUUUUGGGGUUUUUUUCCAAUUAUAUACAGCCUCUGAAUUACUAAGGUUACAAACACACUGUGCACCAGUGAGUUAAGUGCAGUGCUUUGACACUGCAGGCAUCUCUGACCUGAGGGCACUUACUAUAAGGUGAUGCCAUAGCUGUGAAGAGGCAAAAUAAUGCCUAGAACAUGGGUGGGCAGACUCAGCCAGCAGCAGCACUUACAACAACAUCAGCAACCCUGUGGCAUGUUCCCUCUGUGCUGUUUAAUAUGCGACAAACAAAGGUCUGGUUGGUGACCCAGCCCUCCCUGUAUUCAGAGGCUGAAAACUGCCUCAUUAUUGUUCAUUAUGUAGUAUUAUUCUCAUGCAGUCACAUUAUCAUGGCUUCCCCUGAGAGCCAGGAUGCUACUGUGGGCUCUGCACAGCUACACCGGUUCCUAUACCUGAGCUAAUUUGUUCAGUGCUAACCUGAUGUCUCUGCAGGACAGAGAGCUAUUCCCCUUGCAAGGGAAGGUUCAAGCAUUAGUUAUAGCUGCUGUGUGAGAAGUACAACAUACACUGCCUAUUUUUGACAGGGACCUGGUUUGCUGGCCCCGCUGUGAGAACGUGUUAACUCAUCCAGGGUAAAUUCAUUCCAAAUUCAAGUAAUGGUUGGAAGGGAGGUACACGCAAAGAAAUCAACUGUAGAGAGCAAGUGGAGGGUUGAGGGAGAGAAAGUUGUAUGCAAGACUGGCAGCAAGAAAGGGGAAGUGUGGCAGGGGUUUUAAAGGCAUUCCAAAGCUCAGAAGUAGUAAUUAGUUUCUAGAUAGCUGUGAGGUUAGGACAUCCAAAAUACUACCCAUUCUGCCUUCAAAUGAAACAGAAAUGAGCCAAUUCUAGUUUAAAGCUAGUGCCCAGAUCUUUGCAGCUGCUGCAUCAUUUUGAGUUGCCCACCAUUUGUGAUCUUGUUGUGUGAUAGUGUGGUGUUAAGGUACAUGGGAAGGAGCAAACGCCUCAGUGCAAAGAGGAUGCGAGAGAAAACAGAAAUAAAACGAUGGCAGUGAUUGUACAUUUUGCUUUACACAUGAAGUACUGGCAAGUACUGAUACAGUUCGGUUCAGGGAUGACAGUGGAGGCAAUUUGCCUACUGUUAGGUACUGGAGAGCAUACAAUGAAGAAAGAAGAUAAGCAGUGUAACUUAACAUAAUGAAAAAUAACACAGUAAAUAUAAGGGAAUGAUGAAACUGAGUUUCAACAAAAGGAAAGUAUGUAGACAUAGGAUAGAAAAUUUUAAGUGACAGAGUAGGUAGGAUGUUUAGAAAUAAACUGGAUAAAUAUCUUGUAAAUCAGUAGCAAAUAUAAAUUCUGCAAGGACCCUCUCGACUUUGAAAGUCAGUGUCUUUUCUGUUCCCUGAUUCUGGGAUUCUAUGCAUCAAGUCCAUGUACAGAAGGGCCAUCUCCUUGCUGUAUUGCCCUUCUGCCAUUCUUCACAAGGGGCAAGGAUGAUGAUGGUCCCCUGAUAACGUUAAGAAUGAGUUCAGUAUUGGAAAGGACUUGUAAUGCACCACAGGUAUGUGUGGAGAAGGAGAUAACCCGAGAUCAGAAUGGAGUCUCUUGCUCCAAGAGCACAUUCCCAAGUUUUUUGCAUUCCAAACAUGGCAAUUAUUGUCCUUACUAACAAGUAAAUAGAAAACAGCUCUUUUCCAAUAUCAAUAUGUAGGGAAGAACAUAGUCAAAAGAACUAAAGCAGCAAGGUAGUCUGACCCUUACUGCUGAAAUAAUCACAUAGGAUUGCCAAUCAAUGAAGUCCAGAGAUGGAACAUAAACAGUUGUAAGCUGGGAAGGUUCUACAAACAAUAUUUAUUACUUGUUUCAUUCUUGCUCCUACCCUUGUUCUUUCAGGGUUUUUGACACAGCUAUAACAAUUCACAGUUUUCCAAAGUUAGUGUGCCAUUUUUACCUUCUGGAACAUGGAGAUCUAUUAGAGAGCUUGCUGAUGGAAGUGUUCGUAGAAGUAGUGUGCAAUCAGAAAAAAAAAUUAGGUUGGAAGGGUCCUCUGGAGGUCUCUAGUCCAAUUCCCUGCUCAGAGUGGAGCUGACUUCCAAGCUGGAUUAGGUUAUUCAGGGCCUUGUUCAAUUAAGUUUGGAAAAUCUCCAAGGAUGGAGAUGCCACAACCUGAUUGAGUACUUAACAACUCUCCCUGUAAAGGCUUACAGCAAUAAGAUAGCAAUACAAGUGGACUAUGUAAGAGAAUGUAAGAAUAUUUAAUUAGAAUAUAUAGGUGAAGAUCAUGGCAGUAAGAGCUUUCUGUAUGGGUGAUAAGGUAGAACAAAAAAAUAGCAAUAUACUUAGAGUAACAGCAGGAAUGCUGUGGCUUUGCCUUUGCUGGCAACUGUAGUUGGACACUGCAGACUGGAGAACUUUGUUUGGGUUUCUUCAUAGGUAGUUUUGAUCACAGUGUCCCCAGGAUUUUUUUUUUCUGAAAAGCUUUCUUUAGAUCCUUGGCUGACUUUGCUGACUACUUAGCUUCCCUCCUGUGGAAGCCUGCAUUCCUUUCAGGUGGUAGAGACAUGCAGCCCAUGUGUGAACAGAGCUGAAAUGGACUGCUGUGGAGAGGUAUCGUCUCAAGUGCCAGUCAGCACCACUGCUAUAUUCUUACCAUCCUAGUGAGCAAAAGCCACCGAGCUGCAGGACUACAGUGUGGAAAAGUGAUGACACAACAGCAUCUUGAUAACAGUGUCAGCCUUAGGAGCGAAGUAGAAAAUAUAUGGGUUUGGAUAGGAAGAAGCAGGGGAUGCUUUGCACAGCCUCCUUGGUGUCACUACCUGUUGCUAUAGUAUUUUUUAACCUGUCCCUCUAAUGAGUUUUGAAGGCCUGGGAGGCACAGGCAGGAUCAGCCACAGGAUUAAACAUGAGUCAGUGCUUGGUUUAACAACAGAACUAUGGCUGUGCUAGUUGACUGACAAGUCUUGUUUACUCAGACUAAGCCCCCACUCUGCAAAUAACAGCAGUCUUCUGAGCAGGGUAGGCGGCUUUGUGUGUGGAUAGACCUAGAGUCAGAGGCUGUAUUCCAAGCAUGUAACUUGGGCUGACUCUGAGCUGAAAACAGACCUUAAAUACAGCAGUUCAGCUCCCAAGUACAAGGAAUUUCAUUGCCCUGUGCAUCCAGAGUCCAAGCCUACAUCCAGCCUUUGCUCCCUGGCCAAAACGGUCUUUCUGUCAGAAAGCUGCUUGGGUAACAAUGCUUGUAAAAACCCACUGGUUUACGAACAGAUUCCCUGCAGUCCCCAGUGCAUGCUGGUUGCACGUGGGAAUGUCCGCUGAUCUGGAAAUGAGGUGUGUGAAGGUGUGCCAGAGUUUGUUUGGAUCAUGCCGAAGAUCCGUGCGGACUGUUACAAACAAAACAUAUGCAGUCCGUGUACUUUAAAAUACAAGUGCCCACAUAAAAGCUAUCGUUUACGGCAGCCAUACCAUCUGCCCAUCCCGUGGCGUGGAGAUUUGUAGUCGCGGUAAUCCGAAACGCACCAGGGCUGCCAGAAGCAGCGGGGUUAUCAGUGUGCCCCUCGCUGGCCGAGGUUCACCCGCAGAGCUCAGCUCCCCGCCAGCUGCCAGCGGGCGCCUCUUGUGCCCCUCGGCCGGCCCAGGGCAUCCCUUCCAUGCCCACCACCUCCUGGAGGGGGCUUUACGGGAGGAAGGCUAGGGAGAUGAUUUGUUUUCUUUCUUUCUGGCCCGUUUAAGCUAUAUUUUCAUUCUAACUGCAGUUGUUCUUCCCCGCGCUGCUCCUGGGGCCGGGCCGGGCCGUGCGGUGCUGUCUCCCGGCGGCGGCCGCAGGCAAUGGCAGCGGGUCGGGCCCUGCCCCCGGCCGGGCGUGCCGCCCUUAUGUAAGGCCUUUAUGUAAGCGGCCGGCCCGCUCUGCCCCUGCUCGCCCCCCGCGGGAACGGCGCUCUCCGCGCUGUGCCGUGGCCGAUAGAAUGGCGAGGCCGGCGCGGCCCUCAGGCCCCGGCGCGGCUGGGACGCAGGAGGGCAGAGGCGCGCGGGGAGAAGGGGCUCCUGCCCUGGCCCUCCGUGAGGAGAGUCCCGGCCUGUCGGAAGGGCUCGGGAGGCAGGACGUGCUCCCGGGGUGCCCCGGCGCUGUUCGGAUGUUGGCGGGGGAUAACCGAGAUGGCUUCAGCCUGCUCGGUUCUUGCUGCUCUCCUGCGAGAGUGACCGCGGUUCUCCCCCCGGCAUGCGGCGGCAGCAGCCGAUGUUGGCCGGGGCCCCAGCCGCAUCCUGGGCCGGGGCAGCACUGUCCCCUCCGGAGGCUGCAUCCUGUGAGAAAUCAGGUUGUGAUUCAUGUCAAUCGAAUAGCGCCCACCUAUCUAUGUGUGUCUGCGGGCAAUGUGGACAGAGACCAUGGGAUUAAUUAUAAGGAAGAGUUUUAAGAAUCAGUUAAAGUAAGGCAUGGAAGUAGGAUUUAACAAGGCAACUAUGUAACAGUAAACUUUUGGCAAAUAAUUUGUUUUAACAACAAAAUUGUAAUUACUUGCAAGUAAUUAAUAUAAGCUUUAAACUACCUUGUAAUAUACGUUUCAAACUAUCCUUUGUACAAGCUAUAAAUUAGUUUUUUUGAGUAUGGAAGAAUUUGUAAUCAUUUAAAAAGGGGAAGUAGGACUAACAUGAGCUGAGAGGCUCUACAAAGGCAUUUUGAAACAUGCUGACUUUGAGUUUUGUAAUAACUGAAGAAGAGGCCCUAUGAAGAUAUUUUUUAGACAUGCUAGCUUUAGGUUGUGAAAUGAUUGAAAGAAGGCUUGUAAAAUGUAUGCUGACAAACAGAAUAUAUAUGCUUGCUUAAACAAACUGUAUAACCAAAAUAAUGCUAGUGGAAAAAAAGAUAUUUUAAAAGAAGAACAGGAGGCUGGAGAGAUAUCAGAAGACCAUCUUGGACCACCUCCCCAACAGAUCUUCAAAAACCACAGCUGCUGAUUAUGAAGAAAAGCAAGCAAAUAACUGAAAAUUUGAGGAAGUGAAGUGCCUGUAAUGGUAUUAGAGACUACUGUUUGAGACCUGAAUUGGUGUUGCUUGGGGCAGAGACCCCUGCACAGCCAGUGCUGUCAUUGCUCACCCUUUUAUCGAACAAAU